UCCUAGUUAUAGUUCAGAUGGUAGAACGCUGCACUAGAAAUGAGGUGGUCUCUGGUUCGAUACCAGGACCAGGCG
Molecule: transfer RNA, 75 nt
Filed under: Ixodes scapularis (black-legged tick)
Lineage: Eukaryota; Metazoa; Arthropoda; Arachnida; Ixodida; Ixodidae
Description: tRNA-Ser for anticodon AGA
Source: RNAcentral